CAGUAGAGAAGGGGGUAGGGAGUAUAUAUCUUAUUAUGUGAUGUUCACUAAGCUUCAGUAUAUUUUACAGGUUGUUUUGCAAAAACACUUGUAGAGCAUGUUGGUAUGAAGAACCUGAAGUCCUGGGCUAGUGUAAAUCGAGGUGCCAUUAUUCUUUCUAGCCUCCUCCAGAGUUGUGACCUGGAAGUUGCAAACAAAGUCAAAGCUGCACUGAAAAGCUUGAUUCCUACAUUGGAAAAAACCAAAAGCACCAGCAAAGGAAUAGAAAUUCUACUUGAAAAACUGAGCACAUAGGUGGAAAGAGUUAAGAGCAAGAUGGAAUGAUUUUUUCUGUUCUCUGUUCUGUUUCCCAAUGCAGAAAAGAAGGGGUAGGGUCCACCAUACUGGUAAUUGGGGUACUCUGUAUAUGUGUUUCUUCUUUGUAUACGAAUCUAUUUAUAUAAAUUGUUUUUUUAAAU
RNAcentral lists this long non-coding RNA (458 nucleotides) under Homo sapiens (human). RNAcentral's name for it is "non-protein coding lnc-RFX3-2:1". The record is from RNAcentral. Lineage: Eukaryota; Metazoa; Chordata; Mammalia; Primates; Hominidae.